AAUCAACGCUGGCGGCGUGCCUAACACAUGCAAGUCGAACGCGAAAGUGGAGCAAUCCAUGAGUAGAGUGGCAAACGGGUGAGUAACGCGUGGGCGACCUACCUCAGAGUGGGGGAUAACCUUCCGAAAGGAGGGCUAAUACCGCAUGACAUACCGUGUUUGGAUACACGGAUAUCAAAGCCGGGGAUCGCAAGACCUGGCGCUUGGAGAGGGGCCCGCGUCCGAUUAGCUAGUUGGUGGGGUAACGGCCUACCAAGGCUCCGAUCGGUAUCCGGCCUGAGAGGGCGGACGGACACACUGGGACUGAGACACGGCCCAGACUCCUACGGGAGGCAGCAGUGGGGAAUUGUUCGCAAUGGGCGCAAGCCUGACGACGCAACGCCGCGUGGAGGAUGAAGGAUUUCGGUCCGUAAACUCCUUUCGACCGAGAUGAACACCUCUUUACCUAACACGUUUAGAGGUUGACAGUAUCGAGGGAAGCAGCCCCGGCUAACUCCGUGCCAGCAGCCGCGGUAAUACGGGGGGGGCAAGCGUUGUUCGGAAUUACUGGGCGUACAGGGUCUAGUA
Molecule: ribosomal RNA, 567 nt
Filed under: uncultured soil bacterium
Lineage: Bacteria
Description: bacterial SSU rRNA
Rfam family: Bacterial small subunit ribosomal RNA
Source: RNAcentral